GCUGCACCAUGAAUUCAGUGACCUAUGAUGAUGUGCAUGUCGACUUCACUUGGGAAGAAUGGACUUUGCUGACUCCUUCCCAGAAGAAUCUCUACAAAGAUGUGAUGGUAGAGACCUACAGAAACCUCACUACUAUAGGAUACAGUUGGGAAGACCAUAAUAUUGAAGAACAUCGUCAAAAUUCUAGAAGAC
Molecule: non-coding RNA, 192 nt
Organism: Myodes glareolus (Bank vole)
Lineage: Eukaryota; Metazoa; Chordata; Mammalia; Rodentia; Cricetidae
Source: RefSeq, a predicted model, not a curated record